CUCUCCAAUCAAUGAAACUGAUCUCUCCGUGAAGAAGCGGGGAUUUAACUAUAAGACGAGAAGACCCCAUGGAGCUUUAAACCCGACUACACCUCCACCUCUUAUACCCACAUAAUCAACGGAAUACUGUACAUCGGUUUUGGGUUGGGGUGACCACGGAGCACAAACUAACCUCCAUGAUGAAUAAGACUAACCCUUUAUCUAAGAGACACAUCUCUAAGAAUUAGCACACUAACAUAAAAUGAUCCGAUAUUCGAUCAACGAACCAAGUUACCCUGGGGAUAACAGCGCAAUCCACUUCAAGAGCCCCUAUCCACAAGUGGGUUUACGACCUCGAUGUUGGAUCAGGGUAUCCUAGUGGUGCAGCAGCUACUAAAGGUUCGUUUGUUCAACGAUUAAAACCCU
Molecule: ribosomal RNA, 405 nt
Filed under: Spinomantis peraccae
Lineage: Eukaryota; Metazoa; Chordata; Amphibia; Anura; Mantellidae
Description: partial 16S ribosomal RNA
Rfam family: Bacterial large subunit ribosomal RNA
Source: RNAcentral